This 319-nucleotide ribosomal RNA is filed under the name uncultured bacterium. RNAcentral's name for it is "bacterial SSU rRNA". It matches the Rfam family "Bacterial small subunit ribosomal RNA", at positions 28 to 334 of the family's 1533-position model. The record is from RNAcentral.
GACGAACGCUGACGGCCGUGGCCGUAACACAUGCGAAGUCGAGCGGGGACUUGGGUGCGUUGCGACCUAGGGGUUCUAGCGGCGGACGGGUGAGUAACGCGUGAGCAACCUGCCUCAAACUGGGGGAUAACGCAUCGAAAGAUGUGCUAAUACCGCGUAAGACCACGCUACCACAUGGUAGUGGGGUCAAAGGAGCAAUCCGGUUUGAGAUGGGCUCGCGUCCGAUUAGCUAGUUGGCGGGAUAACAGCCCACCAAGGCGACGAUCGGUAGCCGACCUGAGAGGGUGAUCGGCCACAUUGGGACUGAGAUACGGCCCAG